RNAcentral lists this transfer RNA (91 nucleotides) under Chloroflexota bacterium. RNAcentral describes it as "Chloroflexi bacterium tRNA-Ser". It matches the Rfam family "tRNA". Rfam says of the family: Transfer RNA (tRNA) molecules are approximately 80 nucleotides in length. Lineage: Bacteria; Bacillati; Chloroflexota. The record is from RNAcentral.
GGAGGGAUGGCCGAGUGGUUUAAGGCGGCGGUCUUGAAAACCGCUGUGGCGUUUAACGUCACCGGGGGUUCGAAUCCCUCUCCCUCCGCUA